GACGAACCGUGCGAACGUUGUUCGGAAUCACUGGGCUUAAAGGGCGCGUAGGCGGGCUGUCAAGUCUGGGGUGAAAUGCCGCGGCUCAACCGUGGAACUGCCUCAGAUACUGACGGCCUCGAGGGAGGUAGGGGCGUGCGGAACUGUAGGUGGAGCGGUGAAAUGCGUUGAUAUCUACAGGAACUCCGGUGGCGAAAGCGGCGCGCUGGACCUCUUCUGACGCUGAUGCGCGAAAGCUAGGGGAGCAAACGGG
This 253-nucleotide ribosomal RNA is filed under the name uncultured bacterium. Its description in RNAcentral is "partial 16S ribosomal RNA". It matches the Rfam family "Bacterial small subunit ribosomal RNA", at positions 524 to 776 of the family's 1533-position model. The record is from RNAcentral.